ACUCACUAUUACAAGAACAGAAAGGUUCUUGGUUCAUGGUUCAAUCAGCUCCUACCAGGCUCCUCCUCCAACAUUGGGGAUUACAAUUCAACAUGAAAUUUCAGCAGAGACACUGACUCAAAUCAUAUCAGCAGAUGGGAGAAUAUUCUAAAUGAAUUAUUAACCCAGAAGAAUUUAAGAAAAUUUCAUUGCACCCAGGAGAGGAAAAAAAAAGAAUCCAUCCUCCUUCUUGGUGAAGGGGAUAGGAAAUACGACCUGUCUCACUUUGAUCCAUAUUGAAGGCUUCGGAUUUCCUUCAUUCUCCAAGUGAUGCAAAACCAAGAUUCUCACCUAAGUGCUGAAACGACCUCAUAGCACAAAGGGGAGACAGAAAUUUUAAAAGGUAAUUAUGAAACAUAAAACAGAUGCUAAAAUGAAUAGAUGGGCAUAGACCUGUGGGACUGCAAAGCAAAACAAAUUAUUAAGGGUUUGAUGGUCAGUGUUAUCUAAACAUUGUGUAAACUUUUAAAUGUUUAUGAAUCCCAUCUCAGAGGUGUAACUAAUAUUUGUUUGUGUGUGUGUGUGUGUGUGUGAUACACUGAGCAACUGUAUACCACCUAGCAAGUGGCAUUCUUGCUUAGCGACUUACACUGGCCUGUUUACUCACCCUGCUGUAAAGAUCUUCAUUGUCCUUUCCGAAGGAUGUAUUUCUUCCUUACUCUACCCAUGGUCAGUAUAUAACCUUCUGGUAGUUCAAGCUGUCUGCAGCAAAAUCCUCUAAGGAAAGAUGGCUGUCUAACUCUUUUCUUCAGUCUUUGAGGUAUUACACAGCUCUCAGCUCUCUGUGGGCCCUUUAUCCGGAAGGCAGUCUUGGCUCCAAAGCAGGCAACAUUCUUGUAUCUGUGCACUGCAAUUCUAGUCUGCCCCUGUAAGUAAAAACACAUUUAUACUCUUUUUCUUAUAUGGAUAAUUCUUCUCCAAAAGUAUAUAACACCCCAAUUGUUCUUUGGUUCACUUUUAUUUCUGCUCAAUGAGCACAGGAGAGUAACUUAAGAUCACAGUCUCAUUUGUAACCAAAGAAAGGACCUCUCGUCUCACAAGGUCAUGGUAAAGAAAGAACAAGACGAUUAAAUGGAACUUAUUGUAAAAUUAUAUUAUAGUCCAAAAGGGAAAAUAUGGAGUGAUUUAUUAGUAAUCUUCUCACCCAAAGUUUAGAAAAAGCACUUUAGUAUUAGUGGCAAAUACUUUUAUAUUAAAUAUAGCCAUGCAUAUUUUAUGGAAUGUUGUUAUCAGCAGAUUAGAAAAUACAAUAUAAAAACAUGACAAAGAUAUCCAUUCUAAAUUAAUGUGGAAGAAAGAAAUAAAAUGAACUAUUUGAAUAUGACAAGGCAGCCCACAGGGUUUUCUGUGUGACACCUUUAGAAAUCUUCACAAGGAAAAUCAUGGCAAGUUUAAGAGCACUGCAGUGUAAAAAGAAAAAACAAAGACCAGUCACAAAAGAAAAUCGAAGUCAUAUUACACUAACAAUAGCUAAAUAAAGCUAAGUCCAGUGUUUAAAACUUACAAAGCCAUGAGAGAGGCAAGAACUAGCCUCAGUAAAAUACAGAUGCUGCACGUCUGCUGAAAAUUGGAUAGAAGCAUAUUUACUCCACUGUUUUCUGUGGAAUGUACUGAAAACAAUAAAAGUAACAGAACCUACGUUUUUUAAAAUAAUGAAACAUAUAAAAGAUUUUCUUAAAAAGGUCAAAAUAUGAAUAACCCUGUUUUGGAAUAUAAAGUCUCAAUAUUCUGAAGAUGUCAAUAAACUAUUUUUAACUUCAAUGCAUUUAUCAUAAAAUUUUAACAAAUGUGUCACUCUCUUUGUAAGUGAUUCUAGCAUUUCAUCUGGACAACUAAACAGGUGAGAAAAACAAAAAAAAAAUCUAAAAGGGAAGAUGAUUAAGGCAGACAUUACCAGUUGUAAAAUAAAUUUGCAUUAUUAAAAAUUAUAUAAUAUAGGUAAGCACAUUUAUAUAUUCCUAGUUAGGAGUAUAAAUCAAGAUAUUUCAAAAAGUAGAGUCACCAGAUUUUAUGGGAACUUACUGUCUACUAAAGAUGGCAUUCCAGUCAAUGGAGAAAAUAUGAAUUAAUUGUUAUAGUAAUAGAAAAACUGAGUAGCCAGAAAACAAUAUAAAUUUUCUUAGAGCAAAUAUCAUUUGAGCUGGAUGACUGAAUUACAUGUAUAAAGCAAAACAUGAUAAUGUGAAAACAAGCUAACAGAUAAAGUUGCUCCAGAGGUAAAUGGACGUAUCGCUUUGAACAAAAAGUAAAAUCCUGAUUUAUAAAUGUAAUUAAUGUAUCUGUUAAAAUUCUUUGUGUUAUACACAUUAGAAACUUGACUAACCAAAACAAGAUAAUAAUUGGUGAUAAAUAAUUUAAUUGAAGGAAAAGCUAAGAAGGCAAGAGGACAACCUAAAAAUGUUCAGGGUACAUUUACAUGACUCAGCUGCAACAGUUUCCAAAUUUGAUAAUUUAAAUUUCACAAUUUCAGAAGAGAAAAUCUAACGACCCAGUCUCAGUGAAGUGCCUUUGAAUAAAAAGUUCACUGUGGUGGAAAUGGGGUCCUCUGGCUACUGAUAGCGUGUCCCAUUUGCUGAUGUGAUAUCCCUGGACACAUAUGUUUGUAAGCCAGGAUUAGCCUUGGAUUCUAGAACAAGUUUUAAAUAAACAGCAUCACAAUAAAUGUAAUUGAAAAGUCAAAAAACAAAUAUAAAA
Molecule: long non-coding RNA, 2733 nt
Organism: Homo sapiens (human)
Lineage: Eukaryota; Metazoa; Chordata; Mammalia; Primates; Hominidae
Exons: 4
Source: RefSeq, a predicted model, not a curated record